Molecule: ribosomal RNA, 274 nt
Filed under: uncultured bacterium
Lineage: Bacteria
Description: partial 16S ribosomal RNA
Rfam family: Bacterial small subunit ribosomal RNA
Source: RNAcentral
AUACGGAGGGUGCAAGCGUUAUUCGGAAUCACUGGGCGUAAAGGACGCGUAGGCGGGUUGGCAAGUCAGAUGUGAAAUCCUACAGCUUAACUGUAGAACCGCAUUUGAAACUGCUAACCUAGAGUAUGGGAGGGGGAGAUGGAAUUAGUGGUGUAGGGGUAGAAUCCGUAGAUAUCACUAGGAAUACCGAAAGCGAAGGCGAUCUCCUGGAACAUAACUGACGCUAAGGCGUGAAAGCGUGGGGAGCAAACAGGAUUAGAAACCCCAGUAGUCC